CUGGUGACAGCAUCUGUCUCUUCUUGUCAGCUUAACCAUCAGGCAUGUGUUGAAGUGUUAGUAGAUCAGUCGUGUCUGAUUCUUUGUGGCCUCAUUCACUGGGGCUCGCCAGGCUCUUCUGUCCGUGGGAUUCUCCAGGCAAGAAUACUGGAGUGGGUUGCCAUUUCCUUCUCCAGGAGUGGGUUGCCAUUUCCUUCUCCAGGAGCCAUCAUGCAUCAUGACCCCCAAAAUACAAAAAGCCAAAGAGAAUUACUACUACAAGGCCAUUCAAAGAGCUUUUCUGUAUCUUGUCCACUGGGAUAGACCAAGAAAAUCUAAAAAAAUGUUUUAUUAAAGAAAGACAAGAGAGCAGCCAAGAUGACAGGCAAGGAUCCUAAGUUUCCCUCCUCCCACGAGCACACCAAAAUCACAGCAAUCUGUAGAGGACCCAUGGUUUAAAAAAACAACAACAACAACACUGAAACCUACCAGAAAAGAUCUUCCACAACUAAAGACAUAAAGAAAGAACCACAAGACCAGUAGGAGGGGUGGACUGUUGAUAUGAUUAAAUCCCAAAUGCCUGAGGUGGGUGAACUACAAACUGGAGAAUAAUUAUAUUACAGAAAUUCUACUGCAUGAGUCUGUUUCAUGUCAGGCCCUCUCAGCCUGGAGGUUCAGGACCAGGAAGAGGAGCUCCCAGAGCAUUUGGCUUUGAAGGCCAGUGGGGCUUGGUUGUAGAAGCUCCCUAGAAUUGGGAGAAAUAGAGACGUAACUCUUAAAGGACACACUCAGACUCUCACAUGCACCAGGACCAAGGGCAAAAGCAGUAAUUUCCUAGCAGCUUGGGCCAGGCAAAGCUGCUUAUCAUGGCUUCAUAGGUAAAGCAUUUAAAGAAGAGUUAACACCCAUCUUUUGGAAAAUAUCAAAAAAUAUAGAGGAAGGAACACUUCCAAACUCAUUGUAUGCGGUCACUCUAUCACCCUGAUAUGAGAACCAGCCAAAGAUAUCACACGACAAAGAAAAUUACAGGCCAAUAUCACUGAUGAACAUAGAUGGAAAAAUCUUCAAUAAAAUACUAGCAAAUUGAAUGCA
Molecule: long non-coding RNA, 1071 nt
Filed under: Bos indicus x Bos taurus (hybrid cattle)
Lineage: Eukaryota; Metazoa; Chordata; Mammalia; Artiodactyla; Bovidae
Description: lncRNA (ENSBIXG00000023991.1)
Source: RNAcentral